This 294-nucleotide ribosomal RNA is filed under the name uncultured bacterium. RNAcentral's name for it is "partial 16S ribosomal RNA". It matches the Rfam family "Bacterial small subunit ribosomal RNA", at positions 333 to 619 of the family's 1533-position model. The record is from RNAcentral.
UUCUACCUACGGGGCGCAGCAGUAGGGAAUCUUCCACAAUGGGCGAAAGCCUGAUGGAGCAACGCCGCGUGGGUGAAGAAGGUCUUCGGAUCGUAAAACCCUGUUGUUAGAGAAGAAAGUGCGUGAGAGUAACUGUUCACGUUUCGACGGUAUCUAACCAGAAAGCCACAGCUAACUACGUGCCAGCAGCCGCGGUAAUACGUAGGUGGCAAGCGUUAUCCGGAUUUAUUGGGCGUAAAGGGAACGCAGCCGGCCUUUUAAGUCUGAUGUGAAAGCCUUCGGCUUAACCGGCGU